This 497-nucleotide ribosomal RNA is filed under the name uncultured bacterium. RNAcentral's name for it is "partial 16S ribosomal RNA". It matches the Rfam family "Bacterial small subunit ribosomal RNA", at positions 28 to 507 of the family's 1533-position model. The record is from RNAcentral.
GACGAACGCUGGCGGCGUGCCUAAUACAUGCAAGUUGAGCGCUGACGGUUGGUACUUGUACCAACUGGAUGAGCAGCGAACGGGUGAGUAACGCGUGGGGAAUCUGCCUUUGAGCGGGGGACAACAUUUGGAAACGAAUGCUAAUACCGCAUAAAAACUUUAAACACAAGUUUUAAGGUUGAAAGAUGCAAUUGCCUCACUCAAAGAUGAUCCCGCGUUGUAUUAGCUAGUUGGUGAGGUAAAGGCUCACCAAGGCGAUGAUACAUAGCCGACCUGAGAGGGUGGUCCGCCACAUUGGGACUGGGACACGGCCCAAACUCCUACGGGAGGCAGCAGGAGGGAAUCUUCGGCAAGGGACGAAAGGCUGACCGAGCAACGCCGCGGGAGUGAAGGAGGGUGUCGGAUCGGAAAAGUCUGUUGGUAGGGAAGAACGUGGGUGAGGGUGGAAAGCUCAUCAAGUGACGGUAACUACCCAGAAAGGGACGGCUAACUACGUG